Non-coding RNA from Haemonchus contortus (barber pole worm), 75 nucleotides. The record is from Rfam. NCBI's taxonomy places the organism in Eukaryota, Metazoa, Nematoda, Chromadorea, Rhabditida, Trichostrongylidae.
GGCCCAAAUUUGAAGUAAAGUAGGUUAGUAAGAUUGUCCGACCCUACUAAGGUACUCUACUUCAAGUUUGUGCCC